Molecule: ribosomal RNA, 500 nt
Filed under: uncultured bacterium
Lineage: Bacteria
Description: partial 16S ribosomal RNA
Rfam family: Bacterial small subunit ribosomal RNA
Source: RNAcentral
AUUGAACGCUGGCGGCAGGCUUAACACAUGCAAGUCGAGCGGGGUGAUGGUGCUUGCACUAUCACUUAGCGGCGGACGGGUGAGUACUGCGUCGGAACGCACCGAGUAAUGGGGGAUAACGCAGCGAAAGCUGUGCUAAUACCGCAUACGCACUGAGGAGGAAAGCGGGGGACCUUCGGGCGUCGCGUUAUUCGAGAGGCCGACGUCUGGUUAGCUAGUAGGUGAGGUAAGAGCUCGCCUAGGCGACGAUCAGUAGCGGGUCUGAGAGGAGGAUCCGCCCCACGGGGACUGAGACACGGCCCAGACUCCUGCGGGAGGCAGCAGUGGGGAAUUUUGGACAAUGGGCGCAAGCCUGAUCCAGCCAUGCCGCGUGUCUGAAGAAGGCCUUCGGGUUGUAAAGGACUUUUGUCAGGGAGGAAAUCCUUAGCGCUAAUACCGUUGAGGGAUGACAGUACCUGAAGAAUAAGCACCGGCUAACUACGUGCCAGCCGCCGCCGUAA